GGAAGUUACUUAGUGCCUAUAUUUACUUUGGGAAAAACGAGUGAUGAAAAUACAAAAUAAAUGUAUACCUGUGAUAAUAAUACUAUCCCGCUCAAAUAUAUUAAGUAGCACUAUAUUGAAAAAAAACCAGCUCGUCGACACGCGACAAAACAAGCACAAUAAACAUCUGGUAUUCGUAUAAAUAUAUAUACAGUAUAUACUAUAUAGCUGAUUGGGAUGAAUGGGGGUUCAG
Cinara cedri is the source of this 232-nucleotide non-coding RNA. NCBI's taxonomy places the organism in Eukaryota, Metazoa, Arthropoda, Insecta, Hemiptera, Aphididae. The record is from the annotation of a GenBank genome assembly.